GUGCUGGCUUUGGUAGCACAUAUACUAAAGAUGGAACGAUGCAGAGAAGGUUAGCAUGGCUCCUGUGCAAGGAUAACAACCAAUCUGUGAAGCAGUCCAUAUUUUA
Molecule: small nuclear RNA, 106 nt
Organism: Loxodonta africana (African savanna elephant)
Lineage: Eukaryota; Metazoa; Chordata; Mammalia; Proboscidea; Elephantidae
Source: Ensembl